GGGACAUUUAGGGAUUUUUUUUUUCGAAACCCCGUGGCAACACUGUUUUGAGUGUUAUUGUUGAUGUUUUUUCUGUUGUUGAUCACCUACCAUCCCGCUCUAAGGACUGACGUGCUCGGAGGCCGCUACCACCCUCUGAAGUCUCUUGAAUUCUGCGUCAGAAGCUGACUGAAUCGUCAAAUUUCCUCGUGUUUUGAUAAGAUACUUCAAAUCCAAGUCUUUCGCAUUGACCUCUGCAGAAGCUGGCUUCAGCGAGCCCGGAAUAGCUGUUUUAAAUAUACGCGGACACGAAGGCAAUCCGAAUCCGAAACGAUCCAGAAAAGAGCCGAGAAGUGCCUGCAAGUUCCUGCGGGCGAGAAGAAUCGCAACGGCGCUGAACCUAGCAUUGUGGCUACAAGAUCACAGCCAACGGAUUUAAGUCCCCUGCCAAUUGAUUAAAUACCCUGAGAGGAUUAAGAUAAAGUUAAUGUAAAAACUCCAGAAAGUUAGUGGAAUUACAUGUUGCUAAAAUAUUUUAAAAAACAAAAACAAAAAAAAUACAGCAAGUACAAUUUUGUUGAGAAAGACCAAA
Non-coding RNA from Bemisia tabaci, 571 nucleotides. NCBI's taxonomy places the organism in Eukaryota, Metazoa, Arthropoda, Insecta, Hemiptera, Aleyrodidae. The record is from RefSeq and is a predicted model, not a curated record.